RNAcentral lists this ribosomal RNA (253 nucleotides) under uncultured bacterium. RNAcentral describes it as "partial 16S ribosomal RNA". It matches the Rfam family "Bacterial small subunit ribosomal RNA", at positions 524 to 776 of the family's 1533-position model. The record is from RNAcentral.
UACGUAGGGUGCGAGCGUUAAUCGGAAUUACUGGGCGUAAAGCGCGCGUAGGUGGUUCAGUAAGUUGGAAGUGAAAUCCCCGGGCUCAACCUGGGAACUGCAUUUGUGACUGCAAGGCUAGAGUACGGCAGAGGGGGAUGGAAUUCCGCGUGUAGCAGUGAAAUGCGUAGAUAUGCGGAGGAACACCAAUGGCGAAGGCAAUCCCCUGGGCCUGUACUGACGCUCAUGCACGAAAGCAUGGGGAGCAAACAGG